This 166-nucleotide ribosomal RNA is filed under the name Nicotiana tabacum (common tobacco). Its description in RNAcentral is "5.8S ribosomal RNA". It matches the Rfam family "5.8S ribosomal RNA". From Rfam's summary of the family: 5.8S ribosomal RNA (5.8S rRNA) is a component of the large subunit of the eukaryotic ribosome. It is transcribed by RNA polymerase I as part of the 45S precursor that also contains 18S and 28S rRNA. The record is from RNAcentral. Lineage: Eukaryota; Viridiplantae; Streptophyta; Magnoliopsida; Solanales; Solanaceae.
AAACGACUCUCGGCAACGGAUAUCUCGGCUCUCGCAUCGAUGAAGAACGUAGCGAAAUGCGAUACUUGGUGUGAAUUGCAGAAUCCCGUGAACCAUCGAAUCUUUGGACGCAAAUUGCGCCCGAAACCAUUAGGCCGAGGGCACGUCUUCCUGGGCGUCACGCAUC